GUUAGGAAUAUUGGACAAUGGGCGCAAGCCUGAUCCAGCCAUGCCGCGUGAGUGAUGAAGGCCUUCGGGUUGUAAAGCUCUUUAGCCGAUGAUUAUAAUGACUGUAGUCGGAGAAGAAGCCCCGGCUAACUUCGUGCCAGCAGCCGCGGUAAUACGAAGGGGGCUAGCGUUGUUCGGAAUCACUGGGCGUAAAGCGCACGUAGGCGGACAUUUAAGUCAGGGGUGAAAGCCUGGAGCUCAACUCCAGAACUGCCCUUGAUACUGGGUGUCUCGAGUCCGGAAGAGGUAAGUGGAACUGCGAGUGUAGAGGUGAAAUUCGUAGAUAUUCGCAAGAACACCAGUGGCGAAGGCGGCUUACUGGUCCGGUACUGACGCUGAGGUGCGAAAGCGUGGGGAGCAAACAGGAUUAGAAACCCUUGUAGUCC
This 425-nucleotide ribosomal RNA is filed under the name uncultured bacterium. Its description in RNAcentral is "partial 16S ribosomal RNA". It matches the Rfam family "Bacterial small subunit ribosomal RNA", at positions 354 to 796 of the family's 1533-position model. The record is from RNAcentral.